AUUGAACGCUGGCGGCAGGCCUAACACAUGCAAGUCGAACGGUAACAGGAAACAGCUUGCUGUUUCGCUGACGAGUGGCGGACGGGUGAGUAAUGUCUGGGAAACUGCCUGAUGGAGGGGGAUAACUACUGGAAACGGUAGCUAAUACCGCAUAACGUCGCAAGACCAAAGAGGGGGACCUUCGGGCCUCUUGCCAACGGAUGUGCCCAGAUGGGAUUAGCUAGUAGGUGGGGUAACGGCUCACCUAAGCGACGAUCCCUAGCUGGUCAGAGAGGAUGACCAGCCACACUGGAACUGAGACACGGUCCAGACUCCUACGGGAGGCAGCAGUGGGGAAUAUUGCACAAUGGGCGCAAGCCUGAUGCAGCCAUGUCGCGUGUAUGAAGAAGGCCUUCGGGUUGUAAAGUACUUUCAGCGGGGAGGAAGGGAGUAAAGUUAAUACCUUUGCUCAUUGACGUUACCCGCAGAAGAAGCACCGGCUAACUCCGUGCCAGCAGCCGCGGUAA
Molecule: ribosomal RNA, 506 nt
Filed under: uncultured bacterium
Lineage: Bacteria
Description: partial 16S ribosomal RNA
Rfam family: Bacterial small subunit ribosomal RNA
Source: RNAcentral